CCUACUGGUGGCUGCAGUGGGGAAUAUUGCACAAUGGGGGAAACCCUGAUGCAGCGACGCCGCGUGAGUGAAGAAGUAAUUCGUUAUGUAAAGCUCUAUCAGCAGGGAAGAAAAUGACGGUACCUGAGUAAUAAGCCCCGGCUAACUACGUGCCAGCAGCCGCGGUAAUACGUAGGGGGCAAGCGUUCUCCGGAUUUACUGGGUGUAAAGGGAGCGUAGACGGCCGUGUAAGUCUGGAGUGAAAGGCGGGAGCUCAACGACCGGACUGCACUUGAAACUAUACGGCUGGAGUGCAGGAGAGGUAAGUGGAAUUCCUAGUGUAGCGGUAAAAUCCGUAGAUAUCAAGAGGAACA
RNAcentral lists this ribosomal RNA (353 nucleotides) under uncultured bacterium. Its description in RNAcentral is "partial 16S ribosomal RNA". It matches the Rfam family "Bacterial small subunit ribosomal RNA", at positions 338 to 708 of the family's 1533-position model. The record is from RNAcentral.